AUACGUAGGUGGCAAGCGUUGUCCGGAAUUAUUGGGCGUAAAGGAUGCGUAGGCGGUCCUUUAAGUGGGAUGUGAAAUCCCUGGGCUUAACCCAGGAAUAGCAUUCCAAACUGGAGGACUAGAGUGCAGGAGAGGAAAGUGGAAUUCCCAGUGUAGCGGUGAAAUGCGUAGAGAUUGGGAGGAACACCAGUGGCGAAGGCGGCUUUCUGGACUGUAACUGACGCUGAGGCAUGAAAGCGUGGGGAGCAAACAGGAUUAGAUACCCUGGUAGUCCACGCUGUAAACGAUGGGUACUAGGUGUAGGGGAUUCCGUCCUCUGUGCCGCAGUUAACACAUUAAGUACCCCGCCUGGGGAGUACGAUCGCAAGAUUAAA
This 374-nucleotide ribosomal RNA is filed under the name uncultured bacterium. RNAcentral's name for it is "bacterial SSU rRNA". It matches the Rfam family "Bacterial small subunit ribosomal RNA", at positions 523 to 898 of the family's 1533-position model. The record is from RNAcentral.